RNAcentral lists this ribosomal RNA (472 nucleotides) under uncultured bacterium. Its description in RNAcentral is "bacterial SSU rRNA". It matches the Rfam family "Bacterial small subunit ribosomal RNA", at positions 28 to 507 of the family's 1533-position model. The record is from RNAcentral.
GACGAACGCUGGCGGCGUGCCUAAUGCAUGCAAGUCGAGCGGGCUACAGUCUUCGGAUUGUAGCUUAGCGGCGAACGGGUGAGUAACACGUAGGUAAUCUACCCUUCAGAGGAGGACAACCUCAGGAAACUGAGGCUAAACCUUCAUACGUUCACUGGUAGGGAUACUGGUGAAGAAAGAGUUACCGUUGAGGUGGCUGCUGAAGGAUGAGCCUGCGGCCCAUCAGGUAGUUGGUGAGGUAACGGCUCACCAAGCCGAAGACGGGUAACCGGUCUGAGAGGAUGUCCGGUCACACUGGGACUGAGACACGGCCCAGACUCCUACGGGAGGCAGCAGCAGGGAAUCUUGGGCAAUGGGCGAAAGCCUGACCCAGCGACGCCGCGUGGAGGAAGAAGUCCUUCGGGGCGUAAACUCCUGGACUGGGGGACGAGUAAGGACGGUACCCCAGUAGAAAGGGACGGCUAACUACGUG